UUGGCCCUGAAUCAAGGCUGGUGGCUUGCUGUAGCCUCUGGUUUCAAGCAGGAGCCCAAAGAAGUGACUUUCUAUGGUCUGUUGGCUGUUCCAUAACUUCAGAAUUAAACUGGAACAGUCAAUUCAGUUGGAAGCAACAAUG
Laticauda laticaudata (blue-ringed sea krait) is the source of this 142-nucleotide small nucleolar RNA. NCBI's taxonomy places the organism in Eukaryota, Metazoa, Chordata, Lepidosauria, Squamata, Elapidae. The record is from Ensembl.